UACGGAGGGUGCGAGCGUUGUCCGGAAUCACUGGGCGUAAAGGGCGCGUAGGCGGCCUGAUAAGUAGGGGGUGAAAUCCUGCGGCUUAACCGCAGGGCUGCCUUCUAAACUGUCGGGCUCGAGCACAGUAGAGGCAGGUGGAAUUCCCGGUGUAGCGGUGGAAUGCGUAGAGAUGCGGAGGAACACCGAUGGCGAAGGCAGCCCCCUGGGCCGACACUGACGCUCAGGCACGAAAGCGUGGGGAGCAAACAGG
Molecule: ribosomal RNA, 253 nt
Filed under: uncultured bacterium
Lineage: Bacteria
Description: partial 16S ribosomal RNA
Rfam family: Bacterial small subunit ribosomal RNA
Source: RNAcentral